GGAAGGGUGGCAGAGCGGUUGAAUGCACCGGUCUUGAAAACCGGCGAUGGGAAACCAUCCGUGGGUUCAAAUCCCACCCCUUCCGCCA
RNAcentral lists this transfer RNA (88 nucleotides) under Zetaproteobacteria bacterium. RNAcentral describes it as "tRNA-Ser". It matches the Rfam family "tRNA". Rfam says of the family: Transfer RNA (tRNA) molecules are approximately 80 nucleotides in length. Their secondary structure includes four short double-helical elements and three loops (D, anti-codon, and T loops). Further hydrogen bonds mediate the characteristic L-shaped molecular structure. tRNAs have two regions of fundamental functional importance: the anti-codon, which is responsible for specific mRNA codon recognition, and the 3' end, to which the tRNAs corresponding amino acid is attached (by aminoacyl-tRNA synthetases). tRNAs cope with the degeneracy of the genetic code in two manners: having more than one tRNA (with a specific anti-codon) for a particular amino acid; and 'wobble' base-pairing, i.e. permitting non-standard base-pairing at the 3rd anti-codon position. Lineage: Bacteria; Pseudomonadati; Pseudomonadota; Candidatius Mariprofundia. The record is from RNAcentral.